This is a non-coding RNA of Podarcis lilfordi (Lilford's wall lizard), 80 nucleotides long. Lineage: Eukaryota; Metazoa; Chordata; Lepidosauria; Squamata; Lacertidae. The record is from the annotation of a GenBank genome assembly.
UGUUGUUGGACUACAACUCCCAUCAUCCCUGAGCUGUGGCCUUGCUAGCUAGGGAUGAUGGGAGUUGUAGUUCAACAACA